UUUCAGGGACCAAUCGAUAUCGGAUUGAGUCCAAAACAUAGGGAACAUCGUAAUAUGAUGGGAGCAGUCAUUUGGUGUCUUUUGACUGAAAUCCAAUCUCUGCUACUAUGCAAUACAUCAACUACUCCAUUUCAUAACGAACUUCGUACGAACCUGAAUUGUCCAAUUUCAUGCAACAAUCGAUAUCGGAUUGAGUCCAAAACUUGGGGAACAUCAUAAUACGGUGGGAGGAGUCAUUUGGCAGAUUUUG
RNAcentral lists this long non-coding RNA (250 nucleotides) under Prunus persica (peach). RNAcentral's name for it is "long non-coding RNA (PPER_LNC003395)". The record is from RNAcentral. Lineage: Eukaryota; Viridiplantae; Streptophyta; Magnoliopsida; Rosales; Rosaceae.